Molecule: long non-coding RNA, 1703 nt
Organism: Varanus komodoensis (Komodo dragon)
Lineage: Eukaryota; Metazoa; Chordata; Lepidosauria; Squamata; Varanidae
Exons: 3
Source: RefSeq, a predicted model, not a curated record
AAAAUGAAAAUGUUCAGGAAAACCUGAUCCCAAAACUUGCCAGCAUGCCUUUGAUUAUGUUAGCUGAUAGUUUGGUUAGACCACAGGCUUAUCUGUCCACCGGUGCCCAGUCCCUGGAGUAUGUCAUUGCCCUCUUGCAUCGCACCACCGAACCACUCCUGGUGUGGGGCCGUCCUGAUAGCGUCUGCCUCCGUUUCCAGUGGCUCCUUCUCAACAGCAAGGGACAAAGGCAUGGCUCCUCUAUUCAGCCGGGAGGAAACAAAACCAGACCCUCGUCCGAGGCAGAGGAAUGGACUGAACCCCAUUCUGAUGCUGUCUCUGUGGGUACCCCAACAUUUAUCUUAAACCACUUGGGGCUGAUGCUGACACCCUCAUGGCAGAUGCUCAGAAGCCUGGAAGCAUCCAAAGUGCUGCUGCACACCGUGUGCCCUGCAUUUUAUCUAGAAGGCCAUUUUCAGCUGUCUCUAUAGAGGGGCUGGCGAAGGGGAUUGGCACGACCUUGUGGCCACAGCUCGCCUGUCUUUCCUCCUCGGCGGCGGUGGCGGCGGCUGCCUUUCUUCUGUGCUGGCCACAGGAGGGAGGGCAAGGACUUGGUCUCGAGAGUCCGAGCACCAGGGUCAGAGGAAAGUGCAGGAUCGCACCACGAUUAUUCUUUUUUCCUCAUUCUCCAGAGCAGCCGAGGAUGACUUGCGGUUCUCCCCACUGCCUCUUUUUCCUCACAGCACCCCCGUGAGGAUCGUACAAGGGCAAUGAAGUUUCAACAAGAUACUGCUCCAUCUAUGAAAAAGACAAACUCUCCACCCCAAUAUGAUUCAGAGCGGCCCUGAAACAUAAAUAUAGGCCUUCCUAAAAUCCAUAGCCAGAGUGUGUGGCACGGUAUGCCUACAGAUGCGGAAUGCCGUGCAAUUCAGAUGAAAAUCUACUUUAGUGACUGGUCUCAUUGGCCCGGCUGCAAAUUGCUUUUGCAGGAACGUUUCCCGUCUUGGGAGCCAGGUCAGUCAAACUGAGGUUCUUGUUUCAAGUGUGUUGAUGUGUGCCUGUUUCUCUUUGAGGAAGAAAGUCGUGAGGGGAAUGAGCAGUGAUGGAGUGGAGCUGGGGCUCACAGAGGCACAACCCCCGUAUGUUUUCACCGGCGGGGUCGAUGCCAUCAUCUGCCCCUCCUUGGCAUUCUCUACUUCCUCGAGGUGGAGGUGCAAUUCUGGCCCUACCUGCGGAGAAAUGUAUUUUCCUAGCAACCAGUUAUCGUUCUGUAUUGUCAUGUAAAAUAUUUGGUUGGGUAUGCAAGGUGGAGACAAAAACUCCUUGAACUGGUUUACUGAGAGGGUGCAAGGCAGCCCCCUGCCAUUUCUGGCUUCUCCUUGGGAACAAAGCUAAGUGGGGCAGUGCUGACGAGAGCCCCCCCCCCCCAAAUUCAGCACUCCAUCCCUGCAAAGGAGAAGUGGGAGUAGAUGGAUCAGGUGCCACUGGAGAUGAAUUUAAGGGGAAGGCUAGGCUAGAAAAGCAAAGGCUUCAUUAAAUAAGUGGAUUAUGAGAAAGGACGUGAAAGGAGAGAGGGGGAGAGAGAGCAAGCCAGCCUUCCCCCAUGCAAGAGGGAGAGGCUGCUCCAGGGACUGGGAAGCUGCAUGGCUGCAGGAGGAGAGGGCGCUGUCACUAUGCCACUUUUAUCCUCCUGUGUGGCUCUUUCUUUGUUAUGUGUUUCAUUU